GACGAACGCUGGCGGCGUGCUUAACACAUGCAAGUCGAACGGAAAGGCCCUGCUUUUGUGGGGUGCUCGAGUGGCGAACGGGUGAGUAACACGUGAGUAACCUGCCCUUGACUUUGGGAUAACUUCAGGAAACUGGGGCUAAUACCGGAUAGGAGCUCCUGCUGCAUGGUGGGGGUUGGAAAGUUUCGGCGGUUGGGGAUGGACUCGCGGCUUAUCAGCUUGUUGGUGGGGUAGUGGCUUACCAAGGCUUUGACGGGUAGCCGGCCUGAGAGGGUGACCGGCCACAUUGGGACUGAGAUACGGCCCAGACUCCUACGGGAGGCAGCAGUGGGGAAUAGUGCACAAUGGGCGGGAGCCUGAUGCAGCAACGCCGCGUGCGGGAUGACGGCCUUCGGGUUGUAAACCGCUUUCGCCUGUGACGAAGCGUGAGUGACGGUAAUGGGUAAAGAAGCACCGGCUAACUACGUG
RNAcentral lists this ribosomal RNA (468 nucleotides) under uncultured bacterium. RNAcentral's name for it is "partial 16S ribosomal RNA". It matches the Rfam family "Bacterial small subunit ribosomal RNA", at positions 28 to 507 of the family's 1533-position model. The record is from RNAcentral.